RNAcentral lists this ribosomal RNA (484 nucleotides) under uncultured bacterium. Its description in RNAcentral is "partial 16S ribosomal RNA". It matches the Rfam family "Bacterial small subunit ribosomal RNA", at positions 29 to 507 of the family's 1533-position model. The record is from RNAcentral.
AUUGAACGCUGGCGGCAUGCUUUACACAUGCAAGUCGAACGGCAGCGCGGGCUUCGGCCUGGCGGCGAGUGGCGAACGGGUGAGUAAUACAUCGGAACGUGCCCAGUAGUGGGGGAUAGCUAGGCGAAAGCCGGAUUAAUACCGCAUACGACCUGAGGGUGAAAGCGGGGGAUCUUCGGACCUCGCGCUAUUGGAGCGGCCGAUGGCAGAUUAGCUAGUUGGUGGGGUAAAGGCCUACCAAGGCGACGAUCUGUAGCUGGUCUGAGAGGACGACCAGCCACACUGGGACUGAGACACGGCCCAGACUCCUACGGGAGGCAGCAGUGGGGAAUUUUGGACAAUGGGCGAAAGCCUGAUCCAGCAAUGCCGCGUGUGUGAUGAAGGCCUUCGGGUUGUAAAGCACUUUUGGCGGGAACGAAAAGGACUGUGCCAAUACCACGGUUCGAUGACGGUACCCGCAGAAUAAGCACCGGCUAACUACGUG